Small nuclear RNA from Otolemur garnettii (small-eared galago), 134 nucleotides. Its record names the gene U5. It matches the Rfam family "U5 spliceosomal RNA". From Rfam's summary of the family: U5 RNA is a component of both types of known spliceosome. The precise function of this molecule is unknown, though it is known that the 5' loop is required for splice site selection and p220 binding, and that both the 3' stem-loop and the Sm site are important for Sm protein binding and cap methylation. The record is from Ensembl. Lineage: Eukaryota; Metazoa; Chordata; Mammalia; Primates; Galagidae.
AUACUCUGGUGUCUCUUCUCUUUAGUAUAAGGCAAAAGAUCACAUAAAUCCUUCGCCUUGUACUAAAGAUUUCCAUGGAGAGGAACAACUCUGAGUCUGAAAGCAAUUUUUUGAGGCUUUGCUCUGGCAAGCCU